Molecule: ribosomal RNA, 2925 nt
Filed under: Escherichia coli
Lineage: Bacteria; Pseudomonadati; Pseudomonadota; Gammaproteobacteria; Enterobacterales; Enterobacteriaceae
Description: partial 23S ribosomal RNA
Rfam family: Bacterial large subunit ribosomal RNA
Source: RNAcentral
GGGUUGUGAGGUUAAGCGACUAAGCGUACACGGUGGAUGCCCUGGCAGUCAGAGGCGAUGAAGGACGUGCUAAUCUGCGAUAAGCGUCGGUAAGGUGAUAUGAACCGUUAUAACCGGCGAUUUCCGAAUGGGGAAACCCAGUGUGAUUCGUCACACUAUCAUUAACUGAAUCCAUAGGUUAAUGAGGCGAACCGGGGGAACUGAAACAUCUAAGUACCCCGAGGAAAAGAAAUCAACCGAGAUUCCCCCAGUAGCGGCGAGCGAACGGGGAGCAGCCCAGAGCCUGAAUCAGUGUGUGUGUUAGUGGAAGCGUCUGGAAAGGCGUGCGAUACAGGGUGACAGCCCCGUACACAAAAAUGCACAUACUGUGAGCUCGAUGAGUAGGGCGGGACACGUGGUAUCCUGUCUGAAUAUGGGGGGACCAUCCUCCAAGGCUAAAUACUCCUGACUGACCGAUAGUGAACCAGUACCGUGAGGGAAAGGCGAAAAGAACCCCGGCGAGGGGAGUGAAAAAGAACCUGAAACCGUGUACGUACAAGCAGUGGGAGCACGCUUAGGCGUGUGACUGCGUACCUUUUGUAUAAUGGGUCAGCGACUUAUAUUCUGUAGCAAGGUUAACCGAAUAGGGGAGCCGAAGGGAAACCGAGUCUUAACUGGGCGUUAAGUUGCAGGGUAUAGACCCGAAACCCGGUGAUCUAGCCAUGGGCAGGUUGAAGGUUGGGUAACACUAACUGGAGGACCGAACCGACUAAUGUUGAAAAAUUAGCGGAUGACUUGUGGCUGGGGGUGAAAGGCCAAUCAAACCGGGAGAUAGCUGGUUCUCCCCGAAAGCUAUUUAGGUAGCGCCUCGUGAAUUCAUCUCCGGGGGUAGAGCACUGUUUCGGCAAGGGGGUCAUCCCGACUUACCAACCCGAUGCAAACUGCGAAUACCGGAGAAUGUUAUCACGGGAGACACACGGCGGGUGCUAACGUCCGUCGUGAAGAGGGAAACAACCCAGACCGCCAGCUAAGGUCCCAAAGUCAUGGUUAAGUGGGAAACGAUGUGGGAAGGCCCAGACAGCCAGGAUGUUGGCUUAGAAGCAGCCAUCAUUUAAAGAAAGCGUAAUAGCUCACUGGUCGAGUCGGCCUGCGCGGAAGAUGUAACGGGGCUAAACCAUGCACCGAAGCUGCGGCAGCGACGCUUAUGCGUUGUUGGGUAGGGGAGCGUUCUGUAAGCCUGCGAAGGUGUGCUGUGAGGCAUGCUGGAGGUAUCAGAAGUGCGAAUGCUGACAUAAGUAACGAUAAAGCGGGUGAAAAGCCCGCUCGCCGGAAGACCAAGGGUUCCUGUCCAACGUUAAUCGGGGCAGGGUGAGUCGACCCCUAAGGCGAGGCCGAAAGGCGUAGUCGAUGGGAAACAGGUUAAUAUUCCUGUACUUGGUGUUACUGCGAAGGGGGGACGGAGAAGGCUAUGUUGGCCGGGCGACGGUUGUCCCGGUUUAAGCGUGUAGGCUGGUUUUCCAGGCAAAUCCGGAAAAUCAAGGCUGAGGCGUGAUGACGAGGCACUACGGUGCUGAAGCAACAAAUGCCCUGCUUCCAGGAAAAGCCUCUAAGCAUCAGGUAACAUCAAAUCGUACCCCAAACCGACACAGGUGGUCAGGUAGAGAAUACCAAGGCGCUUGAGAGAACUCGGGUGAAGGAACUAGGCAAAAUGGUGCCGUAACUUCGGGAGAAGGCACGCUGAUAUGUAGGUGAAGUCCCUCGCGGAUGGAGCUGAAAUCAGUCGAAGAUACCAGCUGGCUGCAACUGUUUAUUAAAAACACAGCACUGUGCAAACACGAAAGUGGACGUAUACGGUGUGACGCCUGCCCGGUGCCGGAAGGUUAAUUGAUGGGGUUAGCGCAAGCGAAGCUCUUGAUCGAAGCCCCGGUAAACGGCGGCCGUAACUAUAACGGUCCUAAGGUAGCGAAAUUCCUUGUCGGGUAAGUUCCGACCUGCACGAAUGGCGUAAUGAUGGCCAGGCUGUCUCCACCCGAGACUCAGUGAAAUUGAACUCGCUGUGAAGAUGCAGUGUACCCGCGGCAAGACGGAAAGACCCCGUGAACCUUUACUAUAGCUUGACACUGAACAUUGAGCCUUGAUGUGUAGGAUAGGUGGGAGGCUUUGAAGUGUGGACGCCAGUCUGCAUGGAGCCGACCUUGAAAUACCACCCUUUAAUGUUUGAUGUUCUAACGUGGACCCGUAAUCCGGGUUGCGGACAGUGUCUGGUGGGUAGUUUGACUGGGGCGGUCUCCUCCUAAAGAGUAACGGAGGAGCACGAAGGUUGGCUAAUCCUGGUCGGACAUCAGGAGGUUAGUGCAAUGGCAUAAGCCAGCUUGACUGCGAGCGUGACGGCGCGAGCAGGUGCGAAAGCAGGUCAUAGUGAUCCGGUGGUUCUGAAUGGAAGGGCCAUCGCUCAACGGAUAAAAGGUACUCCGGGGAUAACAGGCUGAUACCGCCCAAGAGUUCAUAUCGACGGCGGUGUUUGGCACCUCGAUGUCGGCUCAUCACAUCCUGGGGCUGAAGUAGGUCCCAAGGGUAUGGCUGUUCGCCAUUUAAAGUGGUACGCGAGCUGGGUUUAGAACGUCGUGAGACAGUUCGGUCCCUAUCUGCCGUGGGCGCUGGAGAACUGAGGGGGGCUGCUCCUAGUACGAGAGGACCGGAGUGGACGCAUCACUGGUGUUCGGGUUGUCAUGCCAAUGGCACUGCCCGGUAGCUAAAUGCGGAAGAGAUAAGUGCUGAAAGCAUCUAAGCACGAAACUUGCCCCGAGAUGAGUUCUCCCUGACUCCUUGAGAGUCCUGAAGGAACGUUGAAGACGACGACGUUGAUAGGCCGGGUGUGUAAGCGCAGCGAUGCGUUGAGCUAACCGGUACUAAUGAACCGUGAGGCUUAACCUUACAACGCCGAAG